RNAcentral lists this ribosomal RNA (423 nucleotides) under uncultured bacterium. Its description in RNAcentral is "bacterial SSU rRNA". It matches the Rfam family "Bacterial small subunit ribosomal RNA", at positions 207 to 622 of the family's 1533-position model. The record is from RNAcentral.
AAGACCUUGCACUUUUGGAGCGGCCGAUGUCUGAUUAGCUAGUUGGUGGGGUAACGGCCUACCAAAGCUUCGAUCAGUAGCUGGUCUGAGAGGACGGCCAGCCACACUGGGACUGAGACACGGCCCAGACUCCUACGGGAGGCAGCAGUGGGGAAUUUUGGACAAUGGGCGCAAGCCUGAUCCAGCCAUGCCGCGUGAGUGAAGAAGGCCUUCGGGUUGUAAAGCUCUUUCAGCCGGGAAGAAAAGGUUGCGACUAAUAAUCGCAAUUCAUGACGGUACCGAAAGAAGAAGCACCGGCUAACUACGUGCCAGCAGCCGCGGUAAUACGUAGGGUGCGAGCGUUAAUCGGAAUUACUGGGCGUAAAGGGUGCGCAGGCGGUUUUGUAAGUCAGAUGUGAAAUCCCCGGGCUUAACCUGGGAACU